UGGGGAAUAUUGCACAAUGGGCGCAAGCCUGAUGCAGCGACGCCGCGUGCGGGAUGGAGGCCUUCGGGUUGUAAACCGCUUUGUUCAAGGGCAAGGCAGGCUUUCGGGCC
Molecule: ribosomal RNA, 110 nt
Filed under: uncultured bacterium
Lineage: Bacteria
Description: partial 16S ribosomal RNA
Rfam family: Bacterial small subunit ribosomal RNA
Source: RNAcentral